This is a long non-coding RNA of Chiroxiphia lanceolata (lance-tailed manakin), 2806 nucleotides long. RefSeq lists it as uncharacterized. The record is from RefSeq and is a predicted model, not a curated record. The transcript is spliced from 5 exons. Lineage: Eukaryota; Metazoa; Chordata; Aves; Passeriformes; Pipridae.
UUCCACAGCAUGUUGCCAUCAAAAGGACUUAGUAAGGAAUCUCAAAUGUGCUUUCCAGUACGAGAAAAAGAAAGAAGUAGUAAGCAAAAGAGGCCACACAAAAGAAUUUGUAGAUUUCAUUGAUACAGACUAUGGAAGAUAAUAUAUGAAGAGCUCUAGUAUGUAUGCUUAUCUCAUUAUCUCCAUUCUCAGCUGUAGCCACUGUUCUCACCAGUGAGGAAAGAGCAAUUCCUGUAGAGCUAAAUAAACACCAGACGUGUUUUGUAUAAAUCCAUCAAGAGCGAUCUGGAUCACUCCUGCCCCGCCACUUGCAUGGCAAAGAGGAAAGGCAGAAGAUUAGAUUGAUACUGACAACUCGUUCCCUGUGAAGGUGCCACGAUGUGGCAUUUAUUUGCAUCUACAUUGCAGUUCUCUUCAUCAAUCAGCUUUGCAGAGAUCACUGCUGCUGCUGGCCAUAUUGUUGCUAUGCUGACACUUCAUCCUUAAGUGCUGCUUGCGUAAUGGUACAGUACGUGCCCAUGACCAAAGUUUAAAUCAAAGUUUAAUCAUUACGGAAAGACAAACAUAUUUCCGCGACUGUGUAUCCUGCAAGUAAGAGUAAAAGCAGUUUGGUCGGGUCACAGAUGUUAAUCUCUCCUCUUUUUCUAUUCACAAACUAUAAAGGGAGUUGACAGCACCUGUAAAUGGUUUUCUGAGGCUAGAUUAUAUCUAAGGUGAUUAUUAUUUACACCCACUAUAGAGACUGCUCUUGUGAGCCAAGAAGUCUGUUCCCGUGAGGUGAGUGUUACCAAAAAAGGGCUUUCUUGCAGGAGGAUUCAGUGGAGCGAGGAGACAGGGUGAGGGGCGGUUCAUGCUCACAUGGAGUGCCUUGUCAUGUCUCGGGUUUGUAUAACCCGGGGACUGAAACAGUUGGGAUAUGCUGCAGUUCUGCAUUCCCAGACACACGGGAUGAAGGGAAAGCUUCAGCUCUCUCAACCUGAGUUUUUCAAGCAGGGGCUGACCUUUUCCCACAGCCCAGUUCUGCUCUUCAUAUGAAGAUCAAUACAGGACAGUAAAAGGAUAGGAAACGAGUUGACCUGCCAGUAUGAAUCAGAGAGAACACAUGCUUGUUUAAUCAAGUAAAGACAUAUUAACAUAGAAAUCCUGCAGCCAUUACUAAAUCACUGUGGCUGGUAGCAAAGACUUUUACUUUGACCAGCUUUCAUGUGCCAUACUUCUGUGAAGCCUCUAUAAUGUCCACAGUUUAGGUGUGAAAUUUCUAAGUGUGAAACCCACUCUCCUUUAGCGCAUCUUCUUCAGCCAAUCUGCAUACAGGAGACUCACAUAAUUCAAAGACUUUUCUAUCUCUGUUCCCUGCUUCUACAAGCUUCCCCUGAAAAAGAGUCACUUUGUCAGAACUGAUUUUCUAACUGUAUUUUAUUUCGUCCAACCAUUUCUGUAACUUCAGCGUGUGCAUUUCAUUAAGCCCUCCUUGUAAACUAAUUCCACUCAUGUACAUAUCAAAUUCGUUUGCCAGCUUUAUAGAUUAUAACCAGACACAUAUAAAAUGUUUUAGAUAACUAAAAAUGGAAAUGAGAUGUAUUGGUGAUACGAACCGAAAUAUUUGAAGCAACGUUUUUUUCUUGUGUGAGUUCUGAAACGUUAUUAACCGAAUAGAAAGUAUCUUUCCUGCUCGGUGCUGCAUGGCUGCUGGGCGUGCGUAUGUAAGGGAGCCGUGGCACCGCGCCACAGAAACCGCGAGUCCCUUUAAAGCACAGAGGGAAACCUGUAAUGGACGGGGUUUUCGGCGUUUCUAGCAACAAAGGAAUCAGGAAGAGGUACUGAAAGAAAGAAACCCAUCCACCACAGCCCAGCUGGGAGAGGCUCGGCGCUCCCCCGCCCCUCAGCGGGCACAGUGCGCCGGCUGCGCGCCGGCGACGCGGUGCCGGUGACCGCCCGCCGCGCAGCGCACCGGGUCCCGGCCGAACCGCCUCCCCGCAGUGAGAGUUUAUUAUUCUUUGGACGCGAGCAGCGAUGCCGAUGUUUGCAAAAACAGCCGCCGACUGCAGCGAGAGCAAAAGCGGGCUGUGCAGAGCCUCUCCUGGCCACCGCGGGCACCGGCGUGGCCGCGGGGCCGGGCGGGGAGCGGGCAACUUAGGGGAUCGCGGGCGGAAGAGGGCAGGCUUCGGGGUUUUUUAUUUUGUUUUCCUCCCAAUGAAAUGAAAUCUCAGCUUAUUUGCCUGAGUCGAAGUUGUUUUGAGUGAUUUGCCUGUUAACAGCGUUAUGCAAAUGUUAGCUAGCUAUUUAAAGGGGGAAAUAGAAGAAGAAGAAAAAAAAAAGCCGUGUAUUCUCACAGCGCCGGGGAAAUCCUAUGUCCCUUUGCAUUAGCGAGAUGAGAUCACAGCAAUUACUCACCUGCUUGGCCUCUCCUACACCCUUGAGCAACGUACAGCACUAGCUUUCCCAGCCCAACCUUAAACACUUGGCAAAUAUGGCUGAUUUAAACAAAUCAAAAGUGGAAGAGCUUCUGAUGCAGUCACGGGCUUACAAAAACUGUGUCAUUCUGUCACCAGGAUCACUGAAAGAGAAACACGAAAUCGGAUAUUAAGGCGGGAUCCCCUCAUUUGCCUCAGCAGCCGGAGCGCACGGGAAUCCCACCGACAGCCGCGGUGGCAGGACGCCGCGCAGCCGCCACGGAAGCAAAGCGGGGCGAUUCGCGGGUUUACAAAAUCCCGAAAGCGAGGCAUCUGAACUUAGAAAGCGCAGUCGGGCCGGGGGGGGGGGGGGUUGCGGGGGGAGGGAAAAAAAAAGCCCAACAAAAAAACCA